RNAcentral lists this long non-coding RNA (1483 nucleotides) under Malus domestica (apple). RNAcentral describes it as "long non-coding RNA (MDOM_LNC013085)". The record is from RNAcentral. Lineage: Eukaryota; Viridiplantae; Streptophyta; Magnoliopsida; Rosales; Rosaceae.
UCCUAUUACAACUAUUGGUCCAUUUGAUUGAAUUUAGUUGUAUAUAAUACUCCCACUAUGCUUAUAAAACAGUUUUUAAAGCAAGAGUAUAUGAUACUACUAACAUAAACUUUGCAUUCAUUUGAUGGACUAUAUAGUUGCCUUAGGGCCUUAGGAUGACUAUGAACCUUUGUUUAGAUUCAACACGAGCCUAGUGUUGAAUCUCGAUCUAGGGAUGGUGAUUGAUUUUAGUUACGCAUUUAAUCACAUUAAGGCGUGUUGUCUUAGGGGCGUUGGACCCUCUACUCCAUUUUCAUGCAUAUCAAAUAAUACAAGAAAGGAGUACUUCAAAGUAAAGAUGAGCUUAUGCUCUUUACAACAUUUGAAUAAAACAAAUUACUUUAAAGUAAAGAAGAGCUUAUGCUCUUUUACAACAUUUGAUCAAAUCAAAUUACAACCAAAAUCUAAUCUACACAUUCCCAUGGUUCAAACAAAUUUGAAAACGGCCUUUCACAUAGCUCAAUUAUCGUAGGCUUAGGUUCAUAAUCACCCUUUAAUUAAUUAACACUUUAACUAAUUAAAUUGAAUGCAACAUUUUCAUUUGGUUUUUGUAUCCAUAGAAUUGAUUUAAAUGGAGUUAAAUGAAAUGAAAAUCCAAUUCUCAUUUAAAGAGACAAAACCAUUUUUGUUCUCAACCUAAUUUGGGGCCAAAAUGCAAUAACCUCAACUUUUUGGGCUAUGUUGCAAAAACAUAAACUUUUGGGGUCACUUUGUAAAAACACAAAAGUCCACUACUUCAUGUAAUUACAACUAGAACCCAAAAAUUUCAACAAAUGCAAAAACUUCAUUAAAGGAGCAAAACAAUUUGUCCUUUAAUGAUUUUGGGCGUUUACGUAAAUACGUAAACUUUUGGGUCAAACUACAAAUUACACAAAAGUACCAAAACUUUAUGUAAUUGCAUAAAAGCCCCAAAAACACCCCACUUGUAGGGUGGCCGGUUUUGGAGAGAAGGGAGUGAUGUGUGUAUUGAUUUGUAGUUUUAGACAUAAAGUCAUGCAAGUGGUGCAUGACAUAAAUGUCAUGCAAGUGGUGUGUGUGAAAAGGGAAUUAAUCCUUACACACCCACCAAUAUUUCCAUCACCUUUCUAAACAAAUAUCUAAUACAUUUAAACAUAUGAAAAACAUAAAACAUAAACUUUAUGAAAUAAAUCAAAACUUUGAAUCAAAACACCAAACUUUUUGUUCUUGGCAAAAAUGUCAAGAACAAUGAAGAACACUCAUGAAAAACACAAAAAAAAUUUCCAUGAACAUUUUUCACCCAAAAACAUCCCAAAACCAUUCAAACUUAAGCGAAAUAACAUAUAACCAAACUAGGGUACAUAGGGGUUCCAAAAGUUACUUGAAAACAUUUUUAACAAGUCAAACAAGAACCCAAAAAUCCACCCUUUGGAUUUAGCCGAAAAUUCCCAAAAACAUGGCACCAAAUUUUAGCUCCAAUAUUCAU